UUACAUUUCAUCACAGCAGAUGAAUGAUGCAUGAUGUAAACAGUGUGACACAGACCUGUUCUGGAAAUAGUGGGAAAGUAACAGCUUCUUUAGUCCCCCCUCCCUGGGACUGCUGAGUUCCCAGUUUGUUGGCAAGGGUCUUGUUCUUUUGGAAAUGCAGCACUUGGGUUAGAGGUCCUGAUCAGAGUGACUGAAAAUGCUAAUUUUGAAAGGCUGUCAGUGGCUAGGAUCUUUGGCCAGAGUGGACACUCCUCAUCAUCACAAGAAAAUAGUGGCCCUUGUCAUGGAGUGUGAAGCCAGAAGCAAGUUAUGACUGAGACAAUUUUAGAGAACGUAACUUCAGGGGGGCCUGGGAACACUAUCAUGUUUGGUGUCAGCACCAGGGAAGAGGGAAUCACUAUGUCUGGGGAUCAGUACAGUAAGUCUGACUUGAUCAGAUGGAUGAAUCAUCUCCAAAUUUUAGGGUUUUGAGAAAAUAAAAUAUAACCUAUUUAUUUUCUCACUGCUUUUUCAAGAGAGUUAUAUACAGCAUAAUUAUGUUUACUGUGUUUUUCUAGGAAAUCUUACGAUUUGUUCAUUCCAGAGGACUUCCUAGAGUGAGUUCAUAUUCAAACUUGUAAAAUUGUCUAAUGAAUUGAUACAUCCAUUGUUGCAUGGUAAUAAUUUUUUUCUGAGAUAGAGUUCUGUGAUAUCUUAUUUCUUAAUAUAAUGUUUCCUAAAUAGGAACGGAAAAUGUCAUUGCUUUUUCAAUCCAUCAUACCUUGCAGAUUACAGGAUGACCUGUGGCACUUGCCAUGUGGUGCUCUGAGGCACUCAGAACUUCAAGGAAUCCUGUUGGCUUUGUUGGUGUUACAUCAGAGAUAAAUAUGGACUCUUAUACUCUGCCUUUUUUUAAUCUUCUCUCUGUUAAAGGCUGGGCUGUUUGAAGUAGGUCAGAUCAUAUUUAGCUCUUGAUUAAUGCUAUAAGACUACAUCAUACCUUUGACUUCCAUGAAGAAUUCCUCAUUAAUCUGUGGAGUAAUUUCCUCUUCAAAACUGAUGACAUAAUGUAAGUUUGUGUUGCUAUUAGAUAUUUACUCAUGCUUUUAUUUUAGAAAAAAAUGUGUCACCUCUGUGUACUGUACAGUCUCAGCUAUUGCCUACUGCGUCAUAGCUGUGAGAUGACAUUGUGAGAUGUACCCAUACAACUUGAUUAAGGAACAUGUGCCACCAAACAUUUAUUUUGGUCAUUUUAAGGCUAAUCAGGAAUGGGACCUGUGCUUAGAAUUUACACAUGUCCAUGCAGGCACACAGGGGAGUGUAUGCUCCCUAAAAUAUAAGGAAGAGGCAAGUGAAAGAAAGUAAUGCACAUGCAGAAUAGGAGUAUUACACCAGUUCAUUAUGUCAAUCUGUGUGGUUUCUGGAGUGUGAGGGUGGCUGAGGCUUUAAGAAUGAGCUGAAAGCUAAAUACAAAUUAGGGGUCUGGCCAAGGAAGGAGUGUAGUGAAACAAUCAACUGUGGAAGGACAAUCCUGGAGCGCAAGGCAAGAGAGAUCCCUGUUAAAGGGCAGGGUCAGCUCCACCUCCAUGUGAAUCAAUCCUGUUUUACCUGCUCUUAAAGACUACCAGCAGUAGAUACUCCCCACUGACUAGGCAAUCUAUUCCACUGGUUAAUUGGCUGUAUUUUGCAAUCAAAGGCCUCUUCUCAGUUUAUUACUGCAAAUAUUCUUGUGUUUAUUGAACACUUUUGCUCUCAUACAAUAUUUGCAAGUAGUUGUAUUGAAAUUCAUGGCAGUGAGAAAUUGCAUUCCUAAGGAAUGUUUAGAAAUUACACACACUUAAUACAUUUCAAAAAAGUUGUUAAUAUAGAGACUUGUGGUUUUUUUCUAACAGACUUGACCUUAGUAUACUGGUCAUAGUCCUACAGUCUUAAUGCUUACAUAGUUUAGAUAAAUGACAAUAAAAAGUUAGAUGAAUGAAAACCACCAAGAUUACAGAUCUAAACUACUAUUAAAUCCAUAUUGCAUAACAUAUUACAUAUUACACAAUAUGUAAAAUAAAUGUUUAGUUUAAAUUGGUCACUAUAUUAAGCUGAAGUGUUAUCACAGACUUGUCAAAAGUGCCAGUGAAACUUUGAUAUAAUUAUUCUGAGGAUAACUAUCUUUAUAAUUCUUAAUUUUAGGGUGUACAGUGAUGUUGCCUUGAAUGUGUUGCAUGUUGUCUCAUUUUAUAUGGUAAUGCUACCAGCAAGAAGUUAAUUAUAAAUUAUGUCCAAAUCAUCCAGUGAUAUUCAUACUUUGUGUGUUGUUUGAUUUGCAAAUGUUUUAUUGCAGUAAGACUAGAAUUUUUUAUUUCAUGAUUUUAAGUUUUUAUUCUUAAUGAGAUAAUCAGCCAAGGUUACAUUUCUGCAUGUAAUUUCCCUGCUGUGACUUUCACAAGCCAAUAGCCAGCCCCAAAGGCACAGGUAUAUUUUAGGCAGGCUGGACCCAAACACAUUUUCUAUGUGUCUUCCACACAUCACAAGGUCACAAAAUGCACUCUAAAUGCUUAGCAAGGCUGUGUGAGAGUGACUGUCACAUGCUUUCACAAAUUCAGCAACUAUCCUUGAGGCCAGAGUGGAGGGACAUUUCUUGCAGAUCUAUAGGAGAAAAGGUAAUUGGAGAAAGUAUUAACUUUGAUGAGCAAGCUUGACACAUGCUGACACUGUAAACUUCUUUUUCCUUGACCCUGGCUGCCUACAUUUCUGGGAUUUGAUCUCCUUGACACCUUUAGACAAGUCUGCACAAGUCACUAAGACCUUGUUACUGCUUGUGGAUUGCUGCAUUUCACAUAAUACCUCUGACUUCCUGAAUCCAAAGUUUUAAAGGACCAGCUGGGGGAUUGCCAGUGUCAGAGAUAAAAGUUGGGAUGUUUUUGCUGUGUGAUGGUUUGGUUUUGUUUUCCCCCCAGAUGGAUUUUUCCCUGUAUGGUUCUAAACUGUUUAAAAAUAUUUUAAUUUUCUCUUUUCUGUAGAAGACUAACAGUGUCUGGGAGACCAGUAUGAUAUCUAAUUAUUUUUGUUUUGUUUAAGGAUGAUUAAUUUUAAAGGUAGAACUGUAUCCUUCAUACCUUACCUUGUCAGACACUGACAUAAGUUAUUCCAAGGAAUUUAAUUUUGAACCGAUUGUUAGUGUAUGAAAGAUGCUGUCUUCCUCCCCAGAGUUAGUGGUGAAUAAUGAAAACAAGAUGUGUUUCUUUCCUAAGUACAACCAGCUGCUAUUAUCAGGAAUCUCAGGAAUUCUCACCAUGACACAGUUAAAGUACAUUGUGUCAUAACAUCAUACGUUGCCAGUUAUCAGAGGAAACCUGUAAAAAGAGUUAGAGUUUGGGAUUUCCUUAUUUUUAGAGUUCACAUCAAACAAAUUCCUUCUAACAACAGCAGUGAGCAACCGUGUCUCUUUCAGCAUGCACCUCCAUGGACAAUCCAGGUGUCUGAGCUCCAAGAAAUGGAUGCUCCUGAGCUUUUGGACUUGGUCAUGUCCAGCCAUUAACUGAAGGAAGUUUAUGCAUUCAUUGGUGCAGUUUCUUAUAGUUGCAUCCUAUAUCUGGCCACAGCCUUUUUUGCUUAACUGAAAUUGUAUUGUACUGAGAAAUUAUCCCUGUGUAGUAAUUACAUGGAAUUUUGAGUCUGGAAUUUGAUUUAUGUGUCAUCAAGAUUCAACUAUAUGAGAGAUCAGGGCUUAUCCAUGACCUAUCAUAGCAGCACUGCUCUAUGAAGAAAAUAAAUCCAACAAACUGCUAAGAAGAGCCUGCUCAGAAUCCAGCCUGACAGACUCUCAGUUGUGGAAGGGUAAUGGAGAGAGGGAGGAUGCACCAUCCAGUAGCAGCAGCUGCAGCAAUUUGUGGAGUGCAGCCCCAAAGCUCCUCUCCCCCCAGGUGAGACAGAUUUAAAUGCAAGUCACCCAAGCAAUAGAGAACAGCCCUGCAGAUUCCCAGAUGGCUGAGGAUGAGAUUUCAGCAUAAUUUUUUCACUGCAGUCUGGUAGAGAAACCUGGCUUUAGAGCUGACACAAACCCAAUUCAGGAUGGCUUUACAUUCAUCCAUGGAGCUUCAAAUUCCUCCCCACGCCCUGCUACUCAAGUGACAAAACUCUUUGCUGUCUUGUGAAGUUGUCUUCACAUUUCAGAAGAUGAAAACUAAGACUGGGAUAUGGAGCCUUAAAGCCCUUUGGCACACUUUUCAUACUUUUACAUACAGUGACCACAGCUUCUUUUUGGAGUCAGAUGCCUGUGAGAAAUCCCUACAAGUUUAAUCCAGUUUAUACAGAAAAGGGAAGAAGAGGUAAGACCACAUGCUUUUAGUCCCGCUUUACCUUUAAGCAUAAAUACAACUCUUCUUUGAAUAUCUAUAGUAAAUGAACAGAAACAAGUAAGAAGCAGUAAUGAAGCAAUUUUGUUUAAAAAUCGAAGCAAACACUUGCAAGAAAUAAUUUGUAUCAGGCAUUUAGUUCUACUUGCAUUAUGAAGAAAUUUCUGAAGAUCAUUUAAACAAGAUAGCCUUUGAGAUAAAUCCAGAAAUCUGUUGCUAUUCAAGUUUAUGUUGAUCAUAUCUAUUUGUCAAUGAAUGGUUAUCCUUUUCUGAUAAGAAAAUUAUGUAAUGAUAAGUAAUUUAAUUUUAUGGUUCCAACUUGCUGACGUAUCUUAGUUUAAAGUUUACCUAGAAAUAGUCUUAUGGCUUUGAGAAUAUGGCCUUUUUGCUGCCAUUGAAAUCUGAGAAGAGCACUGGAUACGAGGAAUUGAAAGUCUUCACAUAACUUUGCAAUACAAGAAGGAUGGGAGGAAUACCAGAAUAGGAGAACUUGAAAUCAGACACCUGGAUGUAAUGUGAGAGAUGAUAAAUGUAUUUUACACAUCUACAAGAAAGAAAUCACAGGUAAAAAAAAAA
Molecule: long non-coding RNA, 4901 nt
Organism: Passer montanus (Eurasian tree sparrow)
Lineage: Eukaryota; Metazoa; Chordata; Aves; Passeriformes; Passeridae
Exons: 2
Source: RefSeq, a predicted model, not a curated record